CCCCUAGAUGUCCGGGGCUGCACGCGCGCUACACUGAAGGAAUCAGCGUGCUAAAACCAUUGUCGAAAGGCAUUGGUAAACCCAUUAAAAUCCUACGUGAUUGGGAUCGGGAAUUGCAAUUAUUUCCCUUGAACGAGGAAUUCCCAGUAAGUGUGGGUCAUAAGCUCGCGUUGAUUACGUCCCUGCCCUUUGUACACACCGCCCGUCGCUGCCCGGGACUGAGCCGUUUCGAGAAAAGCGGGGACUGCUGCUGUCGGGGCUUUCGGGCCUUGGCUUCGGUGGAAACCGCUUUAAUCGCAGUGGCUUGAACCGGGCAAAAGUCGUANCA
Molecule: ribosomal RNA, 328 nt
Filed under: uncultured eukaryote
Lineage: Eukaryota
Description: partial 18S ribosomal RNA
Rfam family: Eukaryotic small subunit ribosomal RNA
Source: RNAcentral